GAUGAACGCUGGCGGCGUGCUUAACACAUGCAAGUCGAACGGGAAACCUUUUACUGAAGCUUCGGCAGAUUUAGCUGGUUUCUAGUGGCGGACGGGUGAGUAACGCGUGGGUAACCUGCCUUAUACAGGGGGAUAACAGUCAGAAAUGACUGCUAAUACCGCAUAAGCGCACAGGACCGCAUGGUCCGGUGUGAAAAACUCCGGUGGUAUAAGAUGGACCCGCGUUGGAUUAGCUUGUUGGUGGGGUAACGGCUCACCAAGGCGACGAUCCAUAGCCGGCCUGAGAGGGUGAACGGCCACAGUGGGACUGAGACACGGCCCAGACUCCUACGGGAGGCAGCAGUGGGGAAUAUUGCACAAUGGGGGAAACCCUGAUGCAGCGACGCCGCGUGAAGGAAGAAGUAUCUCGGUAUGUAAACUUCUAUCAGCAGGGAAGAUAGUGACGGUACCUGACUAAGAAGCCCCGGCUAACUACGUG
This 478-nucleotide ribosomal RNA is filed under the name uncultured bacterium. Its description in RNAcentral is "partial 16S ribosomal RNA". It matches the Rfam family "Bacterial small subunit ribosomal RNA", at positions 28 to 507 of the family's 1533-position model. The record is from RNAcentral.